GAUGAACGCUGGCGGCGUGCCUAAUACAUGCAAGUCGAGCGAACAGACGAGGAGCUUGCUCCUCUGACGUUAGCGGCGGACGGGUGAGUAACACGUGGAUAACCUACCUAUAAGACUGGGAUAACUUCGGGAAACCGGAGCUAAUACCGGAUAAUAUAUUGAACCGCAUGGUUCAAUAGUGAAAGACGGUUUUGCUGUCACUUAUAGAUGGAUCCGCGCCGCAUUAGCUAGUUGGUAAGGUAACGGCUUACCAAGGCAACGAUGCGUAGCCGACCUGAGAGGGUGAACGGCCACACUGGAACUGAGACACGGUCCAGACUCCUAAGGGAGGCAGCAGUAGGGAAUCUUCCGCAAUGGGCGAAAGCCUGACGGAGCAAAGCCGCGUGAGUGAUGAAGGUCUUCGGAUCUUAAAACUCUGUUAUGAGGGAAGAACAAAUGUGUAAGUAACUAUGCACGUCUUGACGGUACCUAAUCAGAAAGCCACGGCUAACUACGUG
This 497-nucleotide ribosomal RNA is filed under the name uncultured bacterium. RNAcentral describes it as "partial 16S ribosomal RNA". It matches the Rfam family "Bacterial small subunit ribosomal RNA", at positions 28 to 507 of the family's 1533-position model. The record is from RNAcentral.